This is a long non-coding RNA of Xenopus tropicalis (tropical clawed frog), 709 nucleotides long. RefSeq lists it as uncharacterized. Lineage: Eukaryota; Metazoa; Chordata; Amphibia; Anura; Pipidae. The record is from RefSeq and is a predicted model, not a curated record. The transcript has 3 exons.
UUUUCAUAGACCAGUAUCCACGACGGAAUAAGCAAAAGCGUUUUCUCCUUUGUCAAGCUUGGAUGGAGGCAUGAUGUAUCUAUGGUCUGGGGUGCAAAUGACAACAUAAGUGCAGCCUUCUGAAAGAUGACAUCUCUUUCAACCCAGUGUGACUGACAGAACCGGCUCUCCAGAAACAACACCCUAAAGCCAUAUCAAAAGGUCGGCUGUGGCCUGAUAUAGAGGGAGCAAAUGCCAUCCCAUCCUUCCCAGCAGAAAAGACCAAUAUUGGGGGAAACUAAUAUCUGGUGUUAAUGUAGAAUUCUUCUCAGCUGAUAAUCACAAGCAUCAUGCUCUACUCGACAAGGCAAACAUCUGCAUUAUAAAAUAAGGUUGAAAUAAAGACAAAUGGUCGGAGGGAAGGCACGAGCUAAAUCCAUCCCACUGUGAUCAGAUGGACAACACAUGGGCCAUACAGUGCCCGGCUCUGAGCACAUAAUUAUACACUCUGUGUGCGCUCACCGGCAGAUGGAGGGGUUGCUCGGAAUGUACCGGAUACCAUCUCCCCAAGACUGGAAGAGGAAUUUCCACUUGAUUUACUGUAGGAAAAAAAAUGAAUACAGUUAUAGCAGAAAACCUUAAAGCUCCAAGGCACAAUAAAAAAAAGACAUUUAAACAAGAAAGCAAUUUCAGAGCUACAAAUAUUAUGAAAAAUCAAAAGAAGAAAAUG